Molecule: long non-coding RNA, 622 nt
Organism: Pomacea canaliculata
Lineage: Eukaryota; Metazoa; Mollusca; Gastropoda; Architaenioglossa; Ampullariidae
Exons: 4
Source: RefSeq, a predicted model, not a curated record
UGGACACGCCAGUCACGAAUCCAACUCAAUAAAAGCAAAGCACCCGGGGUCUGGGCAUUGACAGGGUUUGCAAGACCACACAGUUGCUUAGGAAACUGAGAUCCUGAUCGCUGCCUAAUUAUCUUCAACAUGAGGAAGGUGCAAGUUCUUCUGAGUCUUCUCGUCAUCAUUCUCCAUCACUAUGCUGACGCAGCCACGUGCGCAUGCGCAACUGAUGCGGUGAGGUGCCGAAGUGCUCCUGGAGUCUGGAACGAACAAGUCCACGUCAUGUACCCUGGGUGGUGCCUUCAGUACCUGGGUGUGACCACUCAUGCUGGAGAUUACUAUUGGAGGAAGAUCCGUCUCAGCGAUGGUGAGAUUGCCUGGGUUCCUUCCAACUGGGUGAUCAUCGAAGCAUGCUGAGGUGGCAGUUAGAGGAACUUCGCCCAUUGACCCUGGACUCCAGGGCCUGUCCACAACAUCUCGACCUUCUGGGCGCCAGUUUCUUUACACGACACUCAGCGACCGACUUUCUACUCAGGUCUCUGCCAAAAGUCACGUGACAUCCACCAUUUUGUUAGCUCGGGUAGAGCCUGUCAGGCCUGAAGUGUUGUGAAAAAUAAAGCUGUUGAGAAAAAAAAAA